UGGGGAAUAUUGCACAAUGGGCGGAAGCCUGAUGCAGCGACGCCGCGUGGGGGAUGACGGCCUUCGGGUUGUAAACUCCUUUCACCAUCGACGAAGGGUUUCUGACGGUAGAUGGAGAAGAAGCACCGGCUAACUACGUGCCAGCAGCCGCGGUAAUACGUAGGGUGCGAGCGUUGUCCGGAAUUACUGGGCGUAAAGAGCUCGUAGGUGGUUUGUCGCGUCGUCUGUGAAAUUCCGGGGCUUAACUCCGGGCGUGCAGGCGAUACGGGCAUAACUUGAGUACUGUAGGGGAGACUGGAAUUCCUGGUGUAGCGGUGAAAUGCGCAGAUAUCAGGAGGAACACCGGUGGCGAAGGCGGGUCUCUGGGCAGUAACUGACGCUGAGGAGCGAAAGCAUGGGGAGCGAACAGGAUUAGAUACCCUGGUA
RNAcentral lists this ribosomal RNA (426 nucleotides) under uncultured bacterium. Its description in RNAcentral is "bacterial SSU rRNA". It matches the Rfam family "Bacterial small subunit ribosomal RNA", at positions 355 to 792 of the family's 1533-position model. The record is from RNAcentral.